Molecule: RNA transcript, 3688 nt
Organism: Magnolia sinica
Lineage: Eukaryota; Viridiplantae; Streptophyta; Magnoliopsida; Magnoliales; Magnoliaceae
Gene name: phosphatidylinositol N-acetylglucosaminyltransferase subunit A
Exons: 12
Source: RefSeq, a predicted model, not a curated record
UAUAGGUGCUCUUAUAUGAACAGAGAAGGGCCUUGGGAAGAAGUCCUUUGGAAGUCCAAGAGAGAUGUUCUAGAAUGGGCAGUUGGAAUUAAAAAUGUAGAUGUGUCUGCAGUUGCGUUCAUGAUUGGGUUGUAGUUUUUGUAUUCUUCAUUGCUUUGAAUUUCUUAGCAGCUUUCUUAACAGAGUAAAUCUAUUAUCCUUGAAAAAAAAAGGGAAGCAUAAUCAAAGGUACUGCUUGGCCUGCUGGUAAACACUACUGCCUUAGUGGUUGGGGUUUUGAGUUCUAAUCCCACCUAUCACCAAAUAUAUUUUUAUUUAAUGACGCAUCAACUUGGCUAGUGACUCGCAAGCGAGUUUCAUAGUAACUUGGCUCAUUUUUUGGCAGAGUUGAGUUGAUUUGGCCAAGUUUCGAGUCGAGUCACCAAAUUUUGAACUAUGUUGUGAACAGUUGGAGGGGGCCAUGGAACAGUUGGAUUGAUAUGUAUACAUGGAACAAGGCAAAUGGUGUAACAAUCCAAAUCUUUAGUCUGUUGGGGCUGAUGGUGGAGGGCCCAUGCCCAACACUGCUAGGUUCCAAGAUCCUUGGCACCCAUUUUGAACCCCUUUUUCAGUUGAAUGCUGACUGCUGUUUUAUCUCUCUCCUUGACCAUCUAUUUGCAGGUCAUGAAUUGAAACGUUAGGAUUGUCUUUUCAUUGAGAUUUUCAGGGCACGGUCUACUUUCACUUUUGGAGACAUGGUUUAAGAGGAGUUUUGUGUCUUUGAACACAAUGGUAGAACAGGAAAGGCAAAGCAUUUUGAUGGUGUCGGAUUUUUUCUACCCCAACUUUGGUGGUGUGGAGAAUCACAUCUACUAUCUAUCACAAUGCUUGCUUAAGCUUGGUCACAAGGUGAUAGUUAUGACGCACGCCUAUGGGAAACGUUCUGGAGUACGAUACAUGACUGGUGGUUUGAAAGUCUAUUAUGUACCGUGGAGGCCAUUCAUCAUGCAGAAUACAUUGCCAACCUUCUAUGGAACACUUCCGAUUAUACGAACAAUUCUAAUUCGGGAGAGAAUAUCAUUGGUGCACGGACACCAAGCUUUCUCCACUCUUUGUCAUGAAGCUUUAAUGCAUGCACGGACUAUGGGAUAUAAAGUUGUAUUCACCGAUCAUUCACUCUAUGGUUUUGCUGACAUUGGAAGCAUCCACAUGAAUAAGGUGCUGCAAUUUACUCUAGCGGAUGUGAAUCAAGCAAUAUGUGUUUCUCAUACAAGCAAGGAGAACACGGUCCUCCGGUCAGGGUUACCUCCAGAAAAGGUCUUCGUAAUACCAAACGCUGUGGACACUGCUAUGUUUAAGCCUGCUCCGAAGCGAGUUAGCUAUGAUGAAAUUGUUAUAGUUGUGAUAAGUAGAUUGGUUUACCGUAAGGGUGCAGAUCUACUGGUUGAAGUCAUUCCUGAAGUGUGCCGCUUGUUCUCCAAUGUACGUUUCAUUGUUGGAGGAGAUGGUCCAAAACGAGUGCGAUUGGAAGAGAUGAGGGAAAAACACUCCCUUCAAGACAGGGUUGAAAUGUUGGGGGCUGUUCCACAUGCUCAAGUGCGAUCUGUCUUAAUUUCUGGCCAUAUAUUUUUGAACAGUUCUCUUACAGAAGCAUUUUGUAUAGCCAUAUUGGAGGCUGCCAGUUGUGGAUUGCUUACUGUCAGUACACGAGUUGGAGGUGUCCCGGAGGUUCUACCAGAUGACAUGAUUGUACUUGCUGAGCCUGUGCCAAGUGAUAUGGUACAAGCAAUCAAGAAAGCGAUACACAUACUUCCGACAGUUGACCCCCAUGUUAUGCACCUUCGUAUGAAAAACCUGUAUAGUUGGCAUGAUGUGGCCAAAAGAACAGAGAUUGUGUAUGACCGUGCAUUGAGAUGCUCAAAUGAGAAUCUUCUAGAGCGCCUUUCACGGUAUCUCACAUGCGGUGCUUGGGCAGGCAAGCUUUUUUGCAUAGUGAUGAUCUUGGAUUUCUUGCUAUGGCAUCUUUUACAACUAUGGCAGCCUUCGGAGGAUAUUGAGGAGGUACCAGAUUUUGUGUUUCCUCAGCAUCAACAUGAAGAGAUGUUUCAGAAUUUCGGUCUUGCAGUGAUGGCUUUGCUUGGUGAAUGGUUGUGCAUAAGACGUGAAUUGCGAGAUAUUCCUAUGACACGAUUUUGUUCAGGGUAGAGAUUCUGGUGAUGGGGAAUGCAUUCCAAUGAAGGGGAUUGGAUUCCAGUGAAAUCAAGGACUCAGGCUGGGAGGAAGGAAGGUCCAUUCAUUGCUUUCGUUGUGGGCUUCUGUCUGUGAUGGAGAGCCAAUGUAGUCAUGCUAUUUGAAGGUUAUGAGAAGAUUAUGGAGACAGUCGUUCCAAGAAACAGAGAUACCAGCAAGCUUAGAAGGUUUGCUUUUUUUAGAUCUAUGUAUCUUGACAAUGCUCAAAAGGCAUUUAGAGGUUGGAGGCGAGAAGGUUGGAGGAUGGUCACGACUCACUCAUGGUGAACUUAGCAAAAUAUGGUAAGGAUGAAGGUAAACAUGAAGGGGCUCUCGGUUGUUUUGGAUUGAUGGAUGGUUGCUUGAAGGAAUCUGUUACCAUCAUCUAGCAAUGCUAUUUCCAAGCCUUGUCUACCCAUCACGGCAAUUUCCAGGUUGGAAUUAUCAUCGUUUUAGCAGGGAAUUCGUCCUUUUUGGCCAGUGCCAUGGUCCAAGAAAGUGAAGAUGAAGUGGGUUGAAAGGCAGGUAGUAUCGGUUCAAUUUAAGAAGGCUGCUAUGUAGGGGGAGAAGAAUCUUAGGAAGAAAGUGGAGGAAGCCUCAGUGAUGACAAACGACAUUGGAGAGAGAUUGUUAAGCGAAAUUAGCAUCUUGCUUGGGCUGUGGUUCCAAGGGGAUAAAAAGGAGAUGGGCAGCUUGUUUCUGGAACUGGAUGAACAAGAUGAAAUUCAACAAGGUGAGUUGGAGCUUGCAACAGCGGAAAAGAAAGGCAGCUGGCGCAAUCAGAUUUUCUUACAAAAAACUGGGAGCAGCCACAUCGAUAACUCCAUGUGAAAGUUUGUGGAGUUUGUUGCAUCAGUAAUUUGAUCAAUCUGCCUUUAUGUGGGGACUUGUAUACUUAGGUCUUAUAAUCUAGAUACUAUCCUGUGUAAGCUGGACAAUAUUUUUCAUAACGGUGGGCUUGGAAAGAAACUUCUAGGGGUGGUGCAAUUGGUGCUUCCAAGGCCUGCUUCUGACCAUGUUCUCAUAUGCUUGGAGUCAUCAGGUGUUUGACCAGAGAAACUUGAUUGUUUUUGUCAUGGCUGACCUUCGCUUCUCCUUGGGGUCAUGAGAUAGCCCAAGUCAAUCUGCUGAUUAUAAUGGUCAUUACUAAAGCUUUAAUCAGACCUGAUUCCAUUGCCAUUGUCUGUGGAAAACUAUGACAGUUGUGGAGGAGUCUAGAUGAUCAAGAGCAGGACCCGUCUCAAAGGGGUGUUUGAUUUAUGGUUGCAGAGGGGAAUCAUCGCACGUGUGACAUGGUAUUCUAGCUUUCCUGAGGUUUUUGUUCUUUUUUUAGAAGGCUUAAAAGGCUGGUUGUAGCUUCCAAUUCCACAGAUUCAAUCACAACCAAUAUUGAUAUUAGAUUUGGCUGUUUCUAUUCAUGUCCAUUUAUAUGAUAAACAUGCAAAAGGCUUUUUAUUUUUAAUUAAUUUUUUGUUUUUUA